CUUUAACCGUCUCAUUUGAAGCUGCCCAUCCCCACAUAGCUGAGCUCCCAGCAUGACUGGGGCAGUAAGACAACCCUGUUAGGACUAAAAAGCCAUUUCUGCAUCUCGAAGACACAGAUGCAACCCCAGUCUGGCAUUCAAGAGCGUAACUUUAUCAGUGGCACCUUAGAAUCGAGCCACUUUCUCCAGAGCCCUGACCUGUCACCACCAUGGGCCUUUCUGAGUCUGACCCGUGCUGCAGAGGAGAGAGUAAGCCUCGGCAAAGGAAAGUCACUUGCCCAAGGACACCAAGUCAUUUUGGUCAGGGCCAGGUCCACCGCCGAGAUCCUCGCUGCUCAUCAUGGUGUCUCAGGAGCAGCAACAUCAGCAUCACCCGGGAGCUGGCUCCUCUGGGCUGUGAUGCUUUCUCAGACUCUCCUGGUGUUGGAUGACCUUGCCAGUUUUGAGCGGUCAGGUAGAGCUUUAAUGAACUACUCUGAAAGACCCAAGCACUCAUAAGACAAAGCAACGGACAUGCAUUGAGUUCCCAGUCCUACCGUCUAACCGAGAUAUGACUAUGGAUCUGCUACUUGAUCUUUCUGAGCUCCAUCUGUAAAACACAGAGAAAAACAAUACCAGCAUCACACAACAGAGUCUUCUGCAGUUUGAGGACCCCACUCUGCCCAACCAACAGUUCUGGACUUGAGGACUUAAAAUAUCUCAACAGCCCUGCCCAAGCGCCACUAGAUUCCACUAGAGGACAAGGGCAGGCAUUUCCGUGUCAUCUGGGCACAUAGUGCAGG
RNAcentral lists this long non-coding RNA (782 nucleotides) under Equus caballus (horse). Its description in RNAcentral is "lncRNA (ENSECAG00000056289.1)". Lineage: Eukaryota; Metazoa; Chordata; Mammalia; Perissodactyla; Equidae. The record is from RNAcentral.